RNAcentral lists this ribosomal RNA (372 nucleotides) under Hordeum intercedens. The record is from RNAcentral. Lineage: Eukaryota; Viridiplantae; Streptophyta; Magnoliopsida; Poales; Poaceae.
GGAUCCCAUCAGAACUCCGAAGUUGAGCGUGCGUACGUGCGCGGAAUAUAUUAAGCACGGUUCCUUAUUUCCGAUCUUCUCGUGCUGAUCAGUBUGAUABAUUAUACGGUUUUUUUCGACAUCGUAUGCAAAAGUUAUAGCCGUUUUACUUUUUCAUAACACUUUUUUGCAAAACAUGUCAAAAUUUAUGUUUUUGAAUUUUCCUAACUAAUAGAUGUAGUAACAUAAAUACAUCUCGAAGGAUUUUAAUUUUUGAAGUUUUUAUCAUUUUCUUUUCUUUUUUUCAAAACUAAAAUGGCGAUAGGGGGGGCAGCAUAAUGGACGAAGGCGGGGGUAACAUGUCGGAUGCGAUCAUACCAGCACUAAAGCACC